CGGGGGGCACACGUAACACACACAAAUCUGGCGGUAGCACACAGAAACCUGCUCCUUGGGUGACGAGUGGCGGACGGGUGAGUAAUGUCUGGGGAUCUGCCCGAUAGAGGGGGAUAACCACUGGAAACGGUGGCUAAUACCGCAUAACGUCGCAAGACCAAAGAGGGGGACCUUCGGGCCUCUCACUAUCGGAUGAACCCAGAUGGGAUUAGCUAGUAGGCGGGGUAAUGGCCCACCUAGGCGACGAUCCCUAGCUGGUCUGAGAGGAUGACCAGCCACACUGGAACUGAGACACGGUCCCACG
This 304-nucleotide ribosomal RNA is filed under the name uncultured Pantoea sp. RNAcentral's name for it is "bacterial SSU rRNA". It matches the Rfam family "Bacterial small subunit ribosomal RNA", at positions 36 to 337 of the family's 1533-position model. Lineage: Bacteria; Pseudomonadati; Pseudomonadota; Gammaproteobacteria; Enterobacterales; Erwiniaceae. The record is from RNAcentral.